RNAcentral lists this ribosomal RNA (510 nucleotides) under uncultured bacterium. Its description in RNAcentral is "bacterial SSU rRNA". It matches the Rfam family "Bacterial small subunit ribosomal RNA", at positions 8 to 507 of the family's 1533-position model. The record is from RNAcentral.
AGAGUUUGAUCCUGGCUCAGAGUGAACGCUGGCGGCAGGCCUAAUACAUGCAAGUCGAACGGCAGCACGGCAGAGCUUGCUCUGUGGGUGGCGAGUGGCGGACGGGUGAGGAAUACAUGGGAAUCUGCCCAGUCGUGGGGGAUAACGUAGGGAAACUUACGCUAAUACCGCAUGCGCCCUUCGGGGGAAAGCCGGGGACCUUCGGGCCUGGCGCGAUUGGAUGAGCCCAUGUCGGAUUAACUAGUUGGCGGGGUAAUGGCCCACCAAGGCGACGAUCCGUAGCUGGUCUGAGAGGAUGAUCAGCCACACUGGAACUGAGACACGGUCCAGACUCCUACGGGAGGCAGCAGUAGGGAAUAUUGGACAAUGGGCGCAAGCCUGAUCCAGCCAUGCCGCGUGAGUGAAGAAGGCCCUCGGGUUGUAAAGCUCUUUUGUCCGGAAAGAAAAGCGCCGGGUUAAUACCCUGGUGUCCUGACGGUACCGGAAGAAUAAGCACCGGCUAACUUCGUG